UCUUAAAGGGGGAGGGGCUGAGAUCUCUUUUAAAGCUGGACCAAUUUUACACUGGCAGGGCCCAUAAUGUGCGGCUCUGCAUUACAGCGCCCUACAGGAUGCAUCUAAACUAGUUUGGUCAGCGUAUCCAUUCCCUGAAAGCAAGGGAGCCGCCACAUCAGUAACUCCGUUCCUAAGGCAACUGCUUACUUUCCGUAUCAACUGCAAACUCGUUGCUAUGGAGAUGCAUAUACAAGAAAAAUUCCUCUUUCCAGCCAGGGACCAGAUGGCAGGGAACUCGCAGAAGCCAUGGGUUAGGGGGCUUUGCUAAGUGAGAUGUUUACUGGAGUACAUUUCUCUCCUGAUAUCAGAGAUGCAGCUGCCCCGAGCACAUUUAGAAGCUGCACUCUUGGCGCAAAAGUAAAGGUUUAUUCUCUUCUGCCUGCAAAACUACAGCCAGUAACUAGAGAUUUAUACCUCUACCUGAACAUCUCUACAGAGCUUGAAACUCAUAUAGCGACUUCCUGACAGCUCCACUUAGAUGUGGUCAAAAUAGAAUUUUGGCACUAAUCCCCAUCCAACUUCCCAAUCCAAAUUUGCCCACACAUUCUUCAUCAGCAACCCCUGACCCUGGUUCAAGCUGGCAUCGCUCCCACCAUCUUUCUUUUGCACCACUAGAAACAAGCCCCAGAGAGGUAUUUCUCCUUUCUGUCCUUUUAGAUGUAACCACAUUCUCCCUUCUCUUUUUUCUUUUUUUUAAAGAUGGGGUUUCACCAUGAUGGCCAGGCUGGUCUUGAACUCCUGACCUCAGGUGAUCCACCUACCUCGGCCUCCCAAAGUGCUGGGAUUACAGGCGUGAGCCACCACACCAGGCCUUUUUUUUUUUUUUUAAGACAGAGUUUUCACUCUUGUUGCCCAGGCUGGAGUGCAACAGCACAAUCUCAGUUUACCGCAACCUCUGCCUCCAGGGUUCAAGUGAUUCUCCUGCCUUAGCCUCCCCAAGUAGCUGGGAUUACAGGCAUGCGCCACCACAUCUGGUUAAUUUUGUAUUUUUAGUAGAGACGAGGUUGCUCCAUGUUGGUCAGGCUGGUCUCGAACUCCCGACCUCAGGUGAUCCACCCAUCUCAGUCUCCCAAAGUGCCGGGCUUACAGGCGUGAGCCAUCACGCCCAGCCUUAGUUUUGGAUUUUUAAUAAAAGUAGAGUUUCUCUGUGUUUGUCAGGCUGGCCUCCAACUCCCGACCUCAGGUGAUCCACCCGCCUCCACCUCCUAAAGUGAUGGGAUUACAGGUAUGAGCCACUGUGACUGGCAAUCUCCCCUUUCUAAUACACUUCCUUUCUGUUCCUGGGACAUUUUGAGCCAUUGCCACCUCAUGGCCUUUGCACUUGCUGUUCUCUCUGCCCAGAUCUUUGCAUGGCUGCAUCCCUCUUGCCAUUCAGGGCAUGGCCUAGUCAGAUGCCCUGAGAAGCCUCCCACCUUCCUUCCCACUUCCUCCCCACUCCUCUCUGGGACAUUAUCCUGUUUUAUUUUCUUCACUGCAUGUAACACAAUCUGGUACAUUACCUACCCUGCCAUGUAGGUUACUACCAUUUACCACGCACCUCCUCCUCCUCCACUCCCACUGCUACCCUGUGGCUGGUCCAGGAGAGCCUGCCAGAGGUUGCCACUGUAUCCCCAGCACCCAGAACAAUGCCUGGUACUCCACAAACAAGGGUAGGAAGAAUGAACCACUGCUGAAAAAACUUCUAAAAUGACUGAAACCACUUCUUUUCAUAAAUACAUGGCCCAAUUUUUACCUUGCAAACUAGGGGCUGGGCACAAUGGCUCAAGCCUGUAAUCUCAGCACUUUGGGAGGGUGAGGUGGGCGGAUCACCUGAAGUCAGGAGUUCAAGACCAGCCUGACCAACAUGGAGAAACCCCGUCUCUACUAAAAAUACAAAAAUUAGCUGGGUGUGGUGGUGCUUGCCUGUAAUACCAGCUACUCAGGAGGCUGAGGCACAAACAUCGCUUGAACCCAGGAGGCAGAGGUUGCAGUGAGCCGAGAUCCUGCCACUGAACUCCGUCUUAACAAUGACAACAGAAACACUAGGUAUUUUGCAAGACCUCAGAACCACAGCUGCAAACACUAGUUCUCAACUCAAAGCAAUUUAGCAUGCGGAGCAGUAUUCCGGGAGUACCUACUGUGAGGCCGUGCCUCACCUGUGUGCCAGGCUGCCUGUACCUCGAUUCCUGAAGAUUCAGGAUAUUUCCCCCCACCCCCCAACUAGAGCCAGGAUCAGAGUCAGCUCACAUGACUUGGCCUUCUGGAAACAAAGCAUGUGCACACAUUUGGUUAGGUGGGUGUUUUCUGUCUAAUGACAUUAGUUAAAUCACUUAACGGCCCUGUCCCUAGAGAAGGACAGUCACAGCUUUCUAUGAGGCACUUCACAGAACUCCAGUAAAUAGAAGGAGACACUGAACUCGACCCCACGGGGCCCAGAGGGAAAUCCCACAUGCCCUGUGAGGACCAAAGGAAGAAAAAGAAGGGUAAUUGGAGAGCUUUUUCCCCUGGGAAGCGUGUAGCCACUCUGCCUGUAUUUACUGUCUCCUGCUGAGUUCACAAGCAAAGGUACUCAAACAAGCACACACACACACACAAAUCAAAGACUUCAUUCUGUUCAUAGAACUGUCUGUAAUCUUACACAGCAACCCAUCAAGUUAUUACUAAAAGAAUGACUUCACACUACUCGCUAUCUUCAGCCAUGUCUCCUUGCUUUCCUUAUCAUCCUUGACACACACUGUAUCUUCACCUCAAUCAAGCUAUCGCUUUUGAUGAUAUUAAAUGCAAUUUAACCAGAAUAUCUUAAAGCAAAAGUUAUUUUGCUUUAAGUUAUUUGCUUAGUUAUUUGGAAGGUUGCUUUAAGUUAUUUGCUUAGUUAUUUGGAAGGCUGAAAAAAUGGGUCAGCAUCUCUGCUUUGCUUAAGCUACCAAUGCAAUUUAAAGUUUUUCACUUAGCAUCCUAGCUCUUCCAACAAGUCCCUAUCUUUAUUUACAUAACCUUGCAGCCACCAUCUCUCUCCGUCCUUUUCUCUGACAUUGUUCUGACACAUCCUUUGGGUCCAGCAACAUUUGUCUCCUAAGCAUCUAAGAUCUUUGUGGCAGAUAAUUCCAAGUUUGCUUGGCAACAGAACCAACAUUUAAUUUGGGGUUGCAAUGGAUCCGGCAAAAGAGUCCAUUUCCCAGACUUCCUUGCAGCUAGAAGUCAUGUGACCAGGCUCUAGCCAAUAAGAUGAAAGCAGAGAAUGGGGUUUCCAGGAAAUCCCCUUAAAAUCAGGAAGUCAGCAAGACUCCCUCCUGUCCAUCCCUGUACUCCCCUUCUUGCUUCCUAAAAUGAGAACCUGCUAGCUGACACCAUCUUAGACCAUGAGAAGACAGAAUGGAAACCCGCAAUGCCCUAAGAACAGCAGAGAAGAGGGAAUGUGUGUCUCUGCCUAGCUCCUCAAGGCUUAUUUCAUGUAAUGGAGAAAUAUGUCCCAGCUUGUUUAAAUCACUGGUUUCUCUACAAUAAACAGUCAAGCCUCC
Long non-coding RNA from Callithrix jacchus (white-tufted-ear marmoset), 3539 nucleotides. RefSeq lists it as uncharacterized. The record is from RefSeq and is a predicted model, not a curated record. Lineage: Eukaryota; Metazoa; Chordata; Mammalia; Primates; Cebidae.